This 496-nucleotide ribosomal RNA is filed under the name uncultured bacterium. Its description in RNAcentral is "partial 16S ribosomal RNA". It matches the Rfam family "Bacterial small subunit ribosomal RNA", at positions 28 to 506 of the family's 1533-position model. The record is from RNAcentral.
GAUGAACGCUGGCGGCGUGCCUAAUACAUGCAAGUCGAGCGAACAGAUGAGGAGCUUGCUCCUCUGACGUUAGCGGCGGACGGGUGAGUAACACGUGGAUAACCUACCUAUAAGACUGGGAUAACUUCGGGAAACCGGAGCUAAUACCGGAUAAUAUAUUGAACCGCAUGGUUCAAUAGUGAAAGACGGUUUUGCUGUCACUUAUAGAUGGAUCCGCGCCGCAUUAGCUAGUUGGUAAGGUAACGGCUUACCAAGGCAACGAUGCGUAGCCGACCUGAGAGGGUGCUGGGCCACACUGGAACGGAGACACGGUCCAACACCCCAGGGGGGGCAGGAGUAGGGAAUCUUCCGAAAUGGGGGAAAGCCUGACGGAACAACGCCGGGGGAGUGAAGAAGGUUUUCGGAUCGUAAAACUCUGUUAUUAGGGAGGAAAAAAUGUGAAAGUAACUAUGCACGUCUUGACGGUACCUAAACAGAAAGCCACGGCUAACUACGU